Molecule: ribosomal RNA, 484 nt
Filed under: uncultured bacterium
Lineage: Bacteria
Description: partial 16S ribosomal RNA
Rfam family: Bacterial small subunit ribosomal RNA
Source: RNAcentral
AUUGAACGCUGGCGGCAGGCCUAACACAUGCAAGUCGAGCGGAGGAAGGGAGCUUGCUCCUGGAUUCAGCGGCGGACGGGUGAGUAAUGCCUAGGAAUCUGCCUGGUAGUUGGGGAUAACGUCCGGAAACGGGAGCUAAUACCGCAUACGGCCUGAGGGAGAAAGUGGGGGAUCUUCGGAGCUCACGCGAUCAGAUGAGCCUGUGUCGGAUUAGCUAGUUGGUGGGGUAAAGGCCUACCAAGGCGACGAUCCGUAACGGGGCUGAGAGGAUGAGCCGUCACACUGGAACUGAGACACGGUCCAGACUCCUACGGGAGGCAGCAGUGGGGAAUAUUGGACAAUGGGCGAAAGCCUGAUCCAGCCAUGCCGCGUGUGUGAAGAAGGUCUUCGGAUUGUAAAGCACUUUAAGUUGGGAGGAAGGGCAGUAAGUUAAUACCUUGCUGUUUUGACGUUACCAACAGAAUAAGCACCGGCUAACUUCGUG